UUCAAAAAAAAAAAAAACGGAGGAAAAGAAACUAACAAGGAUUCCCCUAGUAACGGCGAGUGAAGCGGGAAGAGCUCAAAUUUGUAAUCUGGCCCUUUCAGGGUCCGAGUUGUAAUCUCGAGAAGUGUUUUCCGCGCCGGACCGCAUACAAGUCUGUUGGAAUACAGCGUCAUAGUGGUGAGAACCCCGUAACUGAUGCGGAUGCCCGGUGCUUUGUGAUACACUUUCGAAGAGUCGAGUUGUUUGGGAAUGCAGCUCAAAUUGGGUGGUAAAUUCCAUCUAAAGCUAAAUAUUGGCGAGAGACCGAUAGCGAACAAGUACCGUGAGGGAAAGAUGAAAAGCACUUUGGAAAGAGAGUUAACAGUACGUGAAAUUGUUGGAAGGGAAACGCUUGAAGUCAGACUUGCUAUUCGGGAUUCAGCCGCAAGGUGUACUUUUCGAACCGCAGGCCAGCAUCAGUUUUUGGGGGUGGAAAAGGGUAGAGAGAAGGUAGCAGUCUAGGCUGUGUUAUAGCUCUUUGCUGGAUUCAUCCUUGGGGACUGAGGAACGCAGCACGCCGCAAGGCAAGGCUUUCGAGCUUUUCGUGCUUAGGAUGCUGGUGGAAUGGCUUUAAACGACCC
This 620-nucleotide ribosomal RNA is filed under the name Lichenia svalbardensis. RNAcentral describes it as "Kriegeriaceae sp. ZT-2022a partial large subunit ribosomal RNA". It matches the Rfam family "Eukaryotic large subunit ribosomal RNA", at positions 34 to 650 of the family's 3401-position model. The record is from RNAcentral. Lineage: Eukaryota; Fungi; Basidiomycota; Microbotryomycetes; Kriegeriales; Kriegeriaceae.